This 253-nucleotide ribosomal RNA is filed under the name uncultured bacterium. RNAcentral describes it as "partial 16S ribosomal RNA". It matches the Rfam family "Bacterial small subunit ribosomal RNA", at positions 524 to 776 of the family's 1533-position model. The record is from RNAcentral.
UACGAAGGGGGCUAGCGUUGCUCGGAAUCACUGGGCGUAAAGGGCGCGUAGGCGGCGUUUUAAGUCGGGGGUGAAAGCCUGUGGCUCAACCACGGAAUGGCCUUCGAUACUGGGACGCUUGAGUAUGGUAGAGGUUGGUGGAACUGCGAGUGUAGAGGUGAAAUUCGUAGAUAUCGGGAGGAACACCAGUGGCGAAGGCGGCGAUCUGGGAAGAUACUGACGCUGAGGUGCGAAAGCGUGGGGAGCAAACAGG